CAACAAUAAUGGUGGCGUUGGAUUUCGCGAAACUUUUACAUCGGUUACCUGAAACUACACUCGCUUUCUCUUUCGUUAUUCUGUCCUUCUGUGUCUGCAGUGGAUCUGUACACAAAGAGGCGGAGCUGUCCAGCGAUGAUUCACACGUCCUGAGGCACCCUUCAAGUGGAAACGCUCAUUAUCCGAUUUUUGCGAACGAAACCGCGGUUUCUCGUGUCCACCGAAGCAAGGCGGACUUGAUUUACAACGUCGGAGAUAUUCCACAGCAGGAUCUCCAGGCCAGGCCUUUGUUUCGAGAUGCUGGUCACGAGAGCUGUCCGUCGGACGUGCCUUGCAACAGACUCAACGCCGAGUGCCUUAAGUGCGAGUUCAACUACUCUUGCGUCUAUGGCGAGGAAGUUACGGUUAUGUGUCAGCCCAAGCAGGGAAUCAAGUGCAUUGACAAGUCUGGUGCCUUUGAGCGCAAGAUGAUCUGCCGCUACUGCUAUCAGACGGCAAACAGCGACCACACUUGUGACCACAAUAGCACUUGCCAGGUGAACAGUGCUCCUCGUCAGCGCUACAUUGCAACAUGCAGCGUCCGACCUGAUGUUCUCUGUUUGGGUAGGAGACAGUUUCAUAAGAAUUUGCUAUGCAAUUGGACCAGGGGCUACAGUUGGUGCACAGCCCUAGUGCUCAGCAUUGUGCUUGGUGGUUUUGGAGCCGACCGGUUCUACCUGGGCAUGUGGCAAGAGGGCAUUGGCAAGCUCUUCAGCUUUGGUGGACUCGGUGUCUGGACGCUGGUUGAUGUCGUACUUGUGGCUGCAGGCUAUUUGGGGCCAGCCGAUGGUUCCCUCUACAUUUCCUAAUAAGGGCACUCUAGUCAGUUGUGGAAUUCAUUAACAGUGCACUUGGAAGGGCCAAUACGUUUACGCAAGCUGUAGGUGCGCCAAAAAGCUCAGAGUAGGGUCACAGCGUGAAAAUUUCUACCCACCCCCUUACUCCCACAUCUCCAUGAACCUCACUUAUAGCGAUAUCACGAGAAAAGCCAAGGUAGGGGCCAGUUGGUUGUACCUAGUUUAAACUUUUAGUGUGCUACAGGGAAACGAAAGCAACGUAAAUAGAUUCUCUGUAGCGUGCUAAAAGUUUACACAUCACAAGAAACACAACGCGUGAUCCCUGGGUGCCCACAUUACGGCCCAGUUCCUUGAAAAAGCUCGUGCGACAAGAUCUGUGGCAAAAAGGCCAGGCUUGCUUCUCUGUCCCGAGUCAGCAGAUGAUACUGGUUCAUUUCCCGAAACCCACAACAUUGUACCUGAACCAUCUUCAUUUCACAACACUCAUGUUCAUUAUGAGACUUUUUUUUUUUCGUUAAGACUGAAUGUAAGCUCCGAUUUCUUUGCUAGGCGAAUACAGACUGACAGUUUCUGUCCUGCUUUCAAAAGUGCGGUGGGAUGCAAGGACCCUACAGCGUAGCUUAGAAGAGGAGCAAAUCCUGAAGAGGAAGUACUGUCACAUUUGUGUUUCUAUUGGACAGGUGUUGUAGAAGCUCAAAGUUGAGUGCUGCAGUGCAUCGAGGAGUUUAUAGCAUUUUUGAAAGCGGUGUCAUUGUGGCUUGCAUUUGGAUAUUCCCUCUGGCUGUGUUCCGGUGCUCCAUCACUUUCUGUGUGUGCUGAUUCAUCAAACUGACCAAUGCGAUCGGGGAGCAAGAAACAGGUGGCCAGGACAUCCAGUUUGCCUUGAGCACAUGGCCUGUGGGACCUGAGAAAAAGCAGGGUUUGAAGCCCUGUACCUCCAGUGCUGGUCCCAAGUGAACAUGCAGAGGAAGCUACGCUGCAAGCCUGCGACCUUGACUGUUCAUGAGGACUUUGCACCUUCUUUGACGAGUAACUCGGUGCUCCUUCGAAAAUAGUUGGCAGAGCAUCCUUGGCAAGUCCCACUCUCCUUUUGCCUGACAUCAACAGCUGUAGACCACGUAAAAUGUGAAGCGAUGUUUUUCACAACAUGGUCUGUUUACUGGAGUACCCGCUCUUUGUGAAAGAUUGCCCAUCUCCAUGCAUCAAGCCUUGCUUGGUCGUGUGGUAGGGGCAUGAGAGGUGAUAACUUCUCUUUACACAACUUAAAGCUUGCAUUGAAGUAUGGUAGAAAGUAUUUUCCCAUCAUGAAGUGCACCACUCCAUCAAACAGCGAAAGAAAUCGAAGUGCAAGCACACGUGCACGAGAUCAGAAAAGCAGGCGCAGCCACGAAGGUGGGAACUAUGUAGUUUCUUCUGCUAUCUCUCAAGGAGUCUCCCAACCAGAACUUUAUUCACCUUCCCAUGAAGCAUUGCUAUGUGCUGUUCUCUCACCUGAACUAUUUUAAACCGUGGCAUAAAAUAGUGGGAGGCAACAUAAAAAAAAAAAGGCUGAAUGAAUGUAGGAACACUUCCGUAUUGUAUCAUGGCUUGCUCACUGCAGUAAGGCCGUAGGGUGUACAAACCUUACUAUGCGCACUGCAACUUCACAAGAGUGCGACAAAACUCUGCAAGCACAUCACAAAUGCUGCAUUCCGCUGCUGCAAACGUGCAGCACGCCAUUGCCAAAGCCUUCUGUGAUGUUAUCACUUGCAGUUGGGCAAGUAGAAUGCGCUUCACACAACCUAGAAUGCGCUUUGAAAGGCAAGUUCAAACUAUUGAAUUGAAGUUCUAGCAUCAAGUGCAGAGGUAGUCAAAGGACAACUUAAAAACGUGUUAUUGUCGGUUUACUAGGGUGUCGGCACGAAGCAGCGGGCAGUGAAAAUUGGUGACAAAAUUUUUUGUGUAUUGAACACCACCUUAUAGCCAAAAACAACAGCGUAUUUUAUUGAAACAAAAGGUCUAAAAAUACUUAUUCGCGGAGUUGGUAAUGCCUCUCGUACGAAGAACGUCCCUUUGUACAUUGAAAGGCCUCCAAAUUCUUUCAAGUUUUGCGAAGAAAUGGUCAAGGACUGACAGGCAUCAUUGAUUUAUGAAAUAUUCUGAUUAAAAGUGGUAUUGUUAGCUUUUAAGCUUGCAUUCCAGUUUUGAUCAGAAUGAAGUUGAUAUGUGAUAAUACGAUGCAGUUAAAUACAGCGUGAUUUUGUGACCUUACAGCCGAUAGCAUAAUACGUCGUCAGUGUUAAAGUUUUCUUUUUCUGUUAGGAAUUCAGUUGCUGCUUGUUUUGCUUAUUCGUGCAAAAACUGUCAUGUUUUUUUCCUCUAUGUUCUUGAGAAUAUUCCAAGAGAAAGAGAAUGCAGAGAAUGGGGUGGUUCAUGCAUUGAAGUGUUUUGGGAAAAUGUGUGUAAGUUUUCUUGUGGCCUGAAUGAAGAGAUGGCGUUAACACAAUUGCUGUAAGCAUACAAAGACCACCAAACUUCUGGGGUGCUACAAUAGCCAUCACUACUAUGUUAUUUGCUGUAGUUAAGAAGUGAUUAAAUUGAAUCUACGUGCAUUAGUAAAAUUCCAACUGCAGACAUACAGCAAGGGCUGCUGGAUACUGUGUAACAAAUGCUCUUAGCAGGUCGGUAUUUGCCCACAGCAGAGAAUAUGUCGUCGGGCAGUGCCUGUGCUGGUUGAAAUCUUAAUUGAAAUCUUAAGCCAUCUCUUUAAGUACGUAGUGUCAUUACUAUGUUGUGUUACUGAGAGAUAUUGUUUGCACGUCUUUCUGCACUAUCACGUAUGUGCAAAGAGUUGUGGGUGAAUUGCUGGGAUUGCAGUGAGACAACUGCUUUGUGGAGGUGGGCAUGUGGCAAAGCAGUUAUUGUAAAUAUACUAGUGUAUACAAAGUCUUGUAUGAUUGUUUGGAAAAUAAAUUCUUUAAGUGC
Rhipicephalus sanguineus (brown dog tick) is the source of this 3800-nucleotide RNA transcript. It is a transcript of the gene named TM2 domain-containing protein 3, with no coding region annotated. The transcript has 8 exons. The record is from RefSeq and is a predicted model, not a curated record. NCBI's taxonomy places the organism in Eukaryota, Metazoa, Arthropoda, Arachnida, Ixodida, Ixodidae.